RNAcentral lists this ribosomal RNA (497 nucleotides) under uncultured bacterium. RNAcentral's name for it is "partial 16S ribosomal RNA". It matches the Rfam family "Bacterial small subunit ribosomal RNA", at positions 28 to 507 of the family's 1533-position model. The record is from RNAcentral.
GAUGAACGCUGGCGGCGUGCCUAAUACAUGCAAGUCGAGCGAACAGACGAGGAGCUUGCUCCUCUGACGUUAGCGGCGGACGGGUGAGUAACACGUGGAUAACCUACCUAUAAGACUGGGAUAACUUCGGGAAACCGGAGCUAAUACCGGAUAAUAUAUUGAACCGCAUGGUUCAAUAGUGAAAGACGGUUUUGCUGUCACUUAUAGAUGGAUCCGCGCCGCAUUAGCUAGUUGGUAAGGUAACGGCUUACCAAGGCAACGAUGCGUAGCCGACCUGAGAGGGUGAUCGCCCACACUGGAACUGAGACACGGUCCAGACUCCUACGGGAGGCAGCAGUAGGGAAUCUUCCGCAAUGGGCGAAAGCUUGACGGAGCAACGCCGCGUGAGUGAUGAAGGUCUUCGGAUCGUAAAACUCUGUUAUUAGGGAAGAGCAAAUGUGUAAGUAACUAUGCACGUCUUGACGGUACCUAAUCAGAAAGCCACGGCUAACUACGUG